This 74-nucleotide transfer RNA is filed under the name Chloroflexota bacterium. RNAcentral describes it as "Chloroflexi bacterium tRNA-Leu". It matches the Rfam family "tRNA". Rfam says of the family: Transfer RNA (tRNA) molecules are approximately 80 nucleotides in length. RNAcentral also lists the same sequence under 2 other names. Lineage: Bacteria; Bacillati; Chloroflexota. The record is from RNAcentral.
GGCUCGGUAGGCAACCGGCAGACCACCCUGCCUUAGAAGCAGGGAUGCUGUGGGUUCAACUCCCACCUGAGCCA